Temnothorax curvispinosus is the source of this 5579-nucleotide RNA transcript. RefSeq lists it as uncharacterized. Lineage: Eukaryota; Metazoa; Arthropoda; Insecta; Hymenoptera; Formicidae. The transcript is spliced from 5 exons. The record is from RefSeq and is a predicted model, not a curated record.
CGAACAGGCCUACUAUUUUAAACGUAUUAACCUCUAACCGAUACGACAAGAUCUUGAACAUGCUUUUCGAUUGAAGAAUUUUGUGAAGAUCAAUUGAUGGAAGACCAGAAUAUUAUAUUCAGGUUAUGUAACUACAUUAUAUAUUCAGUUUAAAAUGGAAACGCGUGAUAAAGUAAGGAAAAGAACGAAGCGAAGCUUUUCGGAUGCUUGGCUCAGCGAUGAUCGAUUUAAGACUUGGAUCCGCAGAGUGUCCUUUGAUGAAAGCCUCUUUCACUGUACGAGAUGUAACAAAAAUUUUUCGUGCUGCUCAUUAUCACAUAUAAUAAGACAUGCGAAAUCUGCGUCUCACAUAAGAAAUGUCGAAAAAGAUACAUCAUUAUGUGAUGAUGAUAAUGUUUCUAAAAGAAAACCACCGCAUAAAAAAAUAUUUAAACAGCGAUGGCUAGAGAUUGAGCAAUUUCAGCCAUGGCUACGCGAAGUGCGAGAUGAUGCAAGUUCAUUUUUUUGUGCUAUUUGUGAUAAAAUUAUUUCCGGCGGUUUGUCACAAAUCUAUCGCCACGCACAAUCCAAAGUACAUAAAGAUAAAUUUGAAAAAUGUAACAUACAAAUGACUGAAUCGACUACGGAAUUAAAAAUGCAAAUUGACGAAUCGCUUUUGCGAUUCGAGGCGCAAAGAAAAUCAGCGGAGAUCCGAUACGCUGCUUUAAUCGCUGACAAAAAUAUUCCACACGAAACUGCGAAAAUGAUACUAAAUUUUUUUCAAGGCAUAGGAGAAAACCCCAACGUAUUGAGAAGCAUGAGCAUGGGUCGAACAAAAUGUACAAACAUAAUCUCCAAUGUUUUGUGUCCUGUAGAAACGACUCGUGUAGUAGGAAACCUUAGAACUACAAAGUUUUCUGUUUUCAUUGAUGAAAUAUCAGAUAUCUCGAACGAAAAAUGGGCGUUUCAUGUUCGGUACGUUAAUCCCGAGACGUUAGAAGUUCACUCACAAUUAGUGAAAUUAAUUGAUGUGGAUACGGAAGAUGCUAGUGCAGAGAAAUUGUUUAAUGCAUUUAAAAAUGAAAUGCACAAGCUCGAAAUACCUUUUGCAAACAUUAUCGCUUUAUCGUGCAACCAUGCGUCGGUUAUGACCGGAAAACAUUUAUGCUUUAAGAAAAAAUUGAAGGAGAUGUGUAAAAGCGUUUUGACCUUAUCGUGUCCGUGUCAUUCUGCCGCAUUAGCUGCACACACUGCAUGUGCUAAGUUACCUGAGUCUUGUAAGAAGUUUGUGGAAGGUUUUGUACAAUAUAUUAAAAGUAGUCCCAAGCGAACGUCUAUUUUCCGCGAGUUUUCCGAGUGUUUUCAAGAAACAAACUACAAAAGUUUAAAGUUAUAUCACACGGGAUGGAUUUCUCACUACACGUAUAUCAAAAAACUUCUCGAAUCUUGGGACACCAUAAAGCAUUUUUUAAGCGAAGUUGUUAGAAAUGAAAAUACGAAAGCUGGGGAAAAUCUAAUGCUUUUAAUGCAAAAUGUAACAACAAAAGCAUAUUUGUUGUUUUUAAAACACGUUUUGCAUUUUUUCCAUAUAUUUAAUGAAUUUUUCCAAGUUGUAGAUACAAGAAUUCAUUUGUUACAGCCAAAAGCAAUAGAUUUUCUAACUGAAAUUGGUGAAAAUUUUUUAACAUCGACAGUUUUAAAAGAGUUGCCAAAUGUAACAUUUAGUAAAGUUGAAAAUCACAAAUUGCUAACUGAUAUUUGUUUAGGAACAAAAUGCGAAGAAUACCUUCGUCAAUUGAUGAAGGAUGGGCAUGCGAAGGAGAUUGCAACUGUUCGACAGAACUGCUUGCAAUUUUACGUUACCGUGGCCGAAGAAGUUUGUAAAAACUUACCGGUUAACAAUGUAUUUUUAUCGAAAUUAAAAAUUUUUCUACCGCACAUAGCUUUAAUGAAUUCUGACAGAGAAACAUCGUACAAUGAUCUUUUUCUCAUAGCCAAAACUAUCGGCGGUUUUGACGAAAAAUGUUUAAAAAGAGAAUGGUUUACGUUAAACUUAGAUUUUACGGUAACAGAGAAAAAAAAUUUCUUAGAAUUAACGUUUGACGACAUGUGGACACAAAUUUUGCAAAGGCGAUAUUCAACUAAUGAAAUAAAAUAUCCGAAUUUAAAAUGCCUUUUGAAUUCUAUUAGGUCACUUCCGAAUUCAAACGCCGAUCCGGAAAGGAUAAUGUUUUUCUUAACGGACAUUAAAACAAGAAAACGAAACAAAUUAUCGCCAGCCGCUGUAAAUGCUAUUUGUGUAUUGAAAUCGGCGUUAAAAUCAAGGGGGGAAACCGUUCUAAAUAUGAAGAUUAAUUCAAAACAUUUAUCUCUCAUGUCGUCAGACAAAUUAUAUGCUAAUGUUCCAAAAAAGCGAAAAAGUAGUCAUCUUCAACAAUGUGCUGCAGAUGAUGAUGCAGACGAUAUUGUUGUUGGCCCUUCUUCGUCUAACGAUGUAUAGUAAUAAUGUAAGAAAAAAAUUAAUUGUUUCUUGUCUUGUUUUUCUUUUUCAACGGCAAAACAGUGUCGUAGGGGUAAGUGGGGCAUGUUUGGACUUUGGACACUUAACUUUGAAUAUAGAUUAUGUUAUCAUUUAAUGUGGUAUGAUAACUUUCUCUGCACAUACAGUUUGUUACAUUUACAUUUUUGUGUGAGGUAGUAUAUAGAAAAUACGAUAAAGUUACAAACUUCUUUGUUUACAAGAAAUUACAACGCAAAGUUGGACUCACGCAGCUGUGAUAUUUUUCAACAAAACGACAAUGUAAUAUAUCGCUAUGCCAUGUUAUGUGUUUUAGCCCUAAGCCUGCGGGGUAUGUAUGUACGUGAUAACGCUGUAAGGGGAAAUAAGAUGAACUCGAAAAACUUUAGAUGGACUCGGAAACGUUUGAACUCUGAAUACGCUCGACGGUACACAGACUGCAAACGUUUCCGAGUUUAUCUGAAGUUUGUCGAGUUCGCCCGUUAUUUCCCCUUGCAUCAAUUAUUACAUCCCUUGUCUUUAGCAGUAGCUUACUUCAUUUAUGAUUUUCUUAAGUUCGUGACAUAAACGUGUCCGAAUGUGCUCCACUCUCCCCUAUAUAUAGCUAUGUAAAAAGAAAAAUAUAAUGUCUACAUGAGACAUCGUGCCGAAUCAGAAACAUAUUUGUCACAAGUGUGUAAAAAAUAGAGAAUAUUAUACAUAUAGGUUUAAGCUUUUCUCUCGGAUAAAAUAUAAGUUUGAUCGAUUCGUAAUAUUAUUUUUUUUUAGUAAAAUAAGUCUAGGGUAACUACUAAAAAAAGCGUCAACAAUAGUACCUAAGUAACAUAGAAAUUUAUUGUAAUAAUUUAUUGUAAUAACAAUAAUAGACUGAAUGGACAAAGUAGAAAUACGUGCAAAUGUGAGGCAUUAACAUACUGUUGUUAUAAAGCCAGAAUAGCAAUAUGAUGUGAAAGAUAAAUAGAAACGUGUAUAAUAAAUACACGUAUCUCAGACGAAUAUAACCACACGCGCGCAAAUGUUCACCCACUGACAUGCAAAAUACGUACAUGGACACAAAAAAUUGAGUACAUAAUAAUAAGGACCCAUGCACAGAUUAUCGCUUAAAAGAAAAUGUGCAAAAAGAGCGUAUAGAGCGUUGGAGGAUGCCUAUUCAGCUAUCGACAUCAAAUCACUAUUCAAAAAGCCGUAGACGUACAAAAUAUAUCAAUUGAACGGAAGGAUUUAAGAAGAAUAACAUCGUCAGCAUACAUAUAGAGUUUGGAGGGAAAAGGAAUAGGAGACAAGUCAGCAAUGAAAAUAUUAAAUAAUAAUGGACCAAGUAUGAAGUUUUGAGGCACAUCAGAUGGAACAGUAAGGCGAUAGGAAAGACUGGAAAGCGAAUUGUAUAAAAACUUGCUGGGAACGGUUCAUAAGGAAAGAUUGUAGAAAAGACAAGGCAAGAAGACUAGAAGAAUAAACUGCAGGACCUAAAUUUGGUGAGAAGAUUAUGAUUGACGAAAGCUUUAUCGAAGGCAAUCAACGAAGUAAGACAACUAGAAUCGAAACCCCUUAGCACGAGAUCUGACACGUGGAGAAGUUGUGAUGCUAUGUAGACCACGAAAUCCAGAGCGACAUUUUGGGAUAACGUUAGAGUGUAACCAGUAAAACGAACCAACAUAGCACAAAUUUUACGCCAGACGCCGGUACGCUUUACGCUGUUUCAUGAGACUUUACCCCGAGAAUAUUAUAAAGCUUAGCCGGAGUGAUAAAAGUAAAACUAAAGGAACAUUACAGGAUGAAGAGAUGAAAUAAUGUAUCGGAAGAGCAGGAAGAUAUGGGAAAGGAGUCAAGAAUAAAAUAAUCAUUCAUCAGCGCAAAAUUAAGAGGACAUGCAUGUGUAAGAUGUACGAAGAAAAAGAUCCGGUGCCAAGAAUAGAGAUAUUUCGCCAGAAUUGGCGAGGGAAAUUCACAGAGAGAGAUAUUUAUAACGCAGCUAAUUUGCAACGGACCAAGUUCUCCUGAAUCGGAGAAGAGCGCGACGUUUUAGGGAUAUGAGUCUCCUAACGGAAGAAUUUAGUGGGGCAGAAGGGCAGACGCAAGACACGCCUAAAGGCUAACGAGGCGAUAUGAUCUCAUACGUGUCUUCUUUUUGUGUGCGUAUUCUCGCUAUCCGAUUGUUGGGUGAACCACCUUAUUCUGGAGGACCACAGUGAACUCUAUACUAAACUGGAACGUGAUUGUGAACUCGAUUCACUCUGUUUUGGAAGAAAACGGGACGAGCGAGAGGAAGAAUUGCGACCAAUCCAUUUUUUCUGUUGCCGACUUUUCGAGAAUGAUUGAAUACCAAUGAUCCAUGGACGUAAGAAAACCUGGACGGAACGUAAGGGCAGCAUACUCGAAGAUUCGGACGAUAUUCCGACUUUAAAGCAAAGGCUCGGAUAACGCAUGGUUUCGUGUGAGCACGAAGGAAGUGGGUUCGAUCUUGACCUUCGUCCCAUAUGUUCCUCGAUUAAGAAGAGAAUUCUCUGUUUAAAUAGAAAAGAAUGUUGAUUUUUGUCACAUUGAACCUGGAGGGUCAUUAAACAGAAGAAGUAAGGGAAAAAGAAGUUAUAAGUGGUGGAAUCUCCGUUAAAGGGAGGAGAGAUUAAGAAAUUGAUCUCUCCCAUUUGCCCCCAUUUAAGAGAAGGAAAAGAGUUUAUGAAUGCCUUUGAAAUGCGUUUCCGCCUUUGUUUUGUAUCACGAGAGGGCACCUCCGAUCCUAUUGAGGUUCUCCUCUUGACUCUAGUAGUUUUUGUCAGUUAUAGUACCACGUGGUAUUUUGGCUCAAUGAGCUUCCCCCACUCCAGCUCUUUUCGUUCCUCCUUCCUUGCACACAUGGCGCACGCCGAGCUGAAUCAACAAACUGUGAAUUCGCCUAAGCAAACUAAUUUCAACAAAAUUGGUCGUCACUCCUGGCCGUAUUGACUUCUGAAAAGAGGCAGGUGCCAACAAAAGGGAAAAAGAAGGUUUCUUGAGCCAGAAAUCCAUUGAAGUCUUGGAAGAAGAAGAGCAAAGUUUGCGACAAACAUUCGAUUGUUCGCCUGUGAUAAAGGGCUGACAAAAU